RNAcentral lists this ribosomal RNA (117 nucleotides) under uncultured Sebacinaceae. Its description in RNAcentral is "5.8S ribosomal RNA". It matches the Rfam family "5.8S ribosomal RNA", at positions 1 to 114 of the family's 154-position model. From Rfam's summary of the family: 5.8S ribosomal RNA (5.8S rRNA) is a component of the large subunit of the eukaryotic ribosome. Lineage: Eukaryota; Fungi; Basidiomycota; Agaricomycetes; Sebacinales; Sebacinaceae. The record is from RNAcentral.
AACAACUUUCAACAACGGAUCUCUUGGCUCUCGCAUCGAUGAAGAACGCAGCGAAAUGCGAUAAGUAAUGUGAAUUGCAGAAUUCAGUGAAUCAUCGAAUCUUUGAACGCACCUUGC